UAGGGAAUUUUGCGCAAUGGGCGGAAGCCUGACGCAGCAACACCGCGUGAAUGUUAGACCCUUCGGGGUAUAAAGUUCUGUCAGUGGGGACGAAUUUGUGACUGUACCCACAAAGGAAGCACCGGCUAACUCCGUGCCAGCAGCCGCGGUAAUACGGGGGGUGCAAGCGUUGUCCGGAAUCAUUGGGCGUAAAGCGUUCGUAGGCGGUAAAGUAAGUCAGAUGUUAAAGCCCGGGGCUCAACUCCGGUUCGGCAUUUGAUACUACUUAACUGGAAUGCGGUAGAGGUAAAGGGAAUUCCUGGUGUAGCGGUGAAAUGCGUAGAUAUCAGGAGGAACAUCGGUGGCGAAAGCGCUUUGCUGGGCCGUUAUUGACGCUGAGGAACGAAAGCCAGGGGAGCAAAUGGG
RNAcentral lists this ribosomal RNA (405 nucleotides) under uncultured bacterium. RNAcentral describes it as "bacterial SSU rRNA". It matches the Rfam family "Bacterial small subunit ribosomal RNA", at positions 355 to 776 of the family's 1533-position model. The record is from RNAcentral.